ACUGUUCACCAUGGAAUGACAUUGUGUUGAACAAGCUGCGUGGCUCCAGAGAUGAUAGCAUCGCACUCUUCAAGCCCUGUCACCCAGAAUGCUUCCAUAACUGCAGCUAGAGCAGAGCCUCCAGAGCCCAGAAUUAGACCUAGGAGCAAUCUACCUUCUCCAGCACGGUUGUUUCCUGUAAGAACGGCAGAAAGAAGGAUCCAAUCCCGUAGCCAGCAAAGGCAGUUCAUGGAUUCCCGUUUUUGCCUGGACCAGGGCUCCACGUCUGUAGCACAGCUGAUGACACUGCCUCCUCGUCUUCGAGCAAAUGCUCAAAGAAUUACUGUCCUAGAUUAUGGUUGGCUGCUCUUCUAGAGCCUUCAAGGCAGAUAUAGAAGAACUUGCAUGGAUUUGCGAUAACGAUGCCCCCAGAUGUUAUCUGAGGGACUACGAGAGCAUUUAUCAAAUAAUGGAACAAGCAAACCAAAAGAACGUGUUUUCUCUUAAUAUUGGGCAAGUAGGGAAUGUAUCUCUCAUACUGGAAGGAACGUUCCCGUAAAGCUACCGACGGGAAGACUGCCUUUUGGAGAGACACUAUCCACGAGCAGACCCCAUAGGCUCACGUGCCUGAUGGUAGUUGUCCCUUGCACUCACGUUGGCCUUUUCUUAGCAAACGUCUAAGUUUUUGUGUGCUUGUAUAGCUUACGCAACCCCUCUCCUCUUUGCUGGACAUCCUGAAUGUCCAGUUGGGUGAAUAUUUGUACACUUGGAAGAGGAAAAUAGAUCUCCUCACACAAUCGGCACCAUGAAACUCAUGCCAGUUCACAGUGGGAUGCUGCCUACUGCCCAGAAUGUGGCUGAAAUCCAAAUAACGGGAUGUGAUAUUUUUGAUGAUGGAGACAAGGACAAGCCCCUGAAGCUCGAUACCCCACUUACGUAUAGUGUACAACUACACCAACGCUUCAGUAUCAUAAGAUGUAGGAGGGGCCCAUGGUCAGUGCCCUCAGCAAAACCUAGGCCCAGCUGGAUGCUAGGCCUCGUACUGCUGGAAUGUUACAUUUCCCGGCGGGGGGCGUUUGGGCAGCUAU
Molecule: non-coding RNA, 1067 nt
Organism: Pelodiscus sinensis (Chinese soft-shelled turtle)
Lineage: Eukaryota; Metazoa; Chordata; Testudines; Trionychidae
Source: RefSeq, a predicted model, not a curated record